UAUGAACGGCAAGUUCCAGAUUAAAAGGACUUGGAAACUAACUACGGAGUACUCCAGGAGAGAAAUCUGCAACCCGAUUUACAGCACUCCCGAAAUCGUCGCCGGCUCCAAUUCCCGCAGACCCCACCGCAAAUCGCCGGCACGGACCCACCUCGAUCUCUUCUACCGAUUCCCGGCCCGCCGGCGCCCCCUCCGGGACCCUAGCUCGGCUCGAUUCAGUUUGAUGGCUUCUUUGCUGCUCCGGUCCGCCGGCCGCGUGCUCCGGCGAUCUCUCCAGCAGGGGCCCCUUCGGCGGUCCCCCGCGCAGCCGUUCGUUGAUAAUCCGCGCCGCUUCAGCUCCGAUGCCGUCAAUAAGCACUCCUGCGCGCCAGAGAACAGCCUCAACAGCAUAGAGGCGGGCCUUGAUGUGAACCUUCAGAUCAUGCGUGCUACAGCAGAACAAGCUAAAGUUAUAUACUACAGAAGAUCACAGAGGAUGAAUUAGCGGAUAAGAAACGCGAGACGGUGGUACUCGGUGCCUUUGCUUUUCUUGGUCUUACACUUUGUGCUGGCGAAUCACUAUUUGGUGGAGUCAAGAAGGAGAAAUCUCAGGAAGUUGAACCUCUAAUUUAGUAGUACUCCCUCCGUCCAACAAAAAAGGAUGUCAUCUAUACACUAAAUCAUGUCUAGAUACAUUCAAAUUUUGACAUCUUGUGUUGGAUGGAGGGAGCACUAGAUUUACGCCGCAACCAAACACGUCCUCGGUGUUAAGGAAGUGUACUCACGUGCAUGCCUGUGCGUGGAUAGUUUCUGAAAGAUCGUUGGAGAUAGUGUGUGAGCGUGAGAAUUCUUCCAAAAGAAUUGUAUGAUUACGUGGAAUUUAGCUAGAUGACACACCUACGGUCGAUAUCUUCCUCUCCAGCAAAGAGCCAGGAAGCAUUUUUAUGUUCACGAACCCGAGUUCGCGGCCCGCCUGGAACAACCGUCGGAUCUCGCGGGCCGCCUCAGGCUCGAGCGGGCCGCCUCACCUCCUUCGAGCAUGCGAGGUGGCACGCGGAGGCUGAGCUCCAGCGGCUGAUCGUGAUCUCCGACUCAGAGUCCAAUGGGAGCCACGGCGACAUCGCUUCGUAGAUUAAAUUUAGGUUUAAAUGUUGUGUUAGACUAGAUCGAUCGAAUGUAUGCAAAUUUUAU
Brachypodium distachyon (stiff brome) is the source of this 1170-nucleotide long non-coding RNA. RefSeq lists it as uncharacterized. The transcript is spliced from 4 exons. The record is from RefSeq and is a predicted model, not a curated record. Lineage: Eukaryota; Viridiplantae; Streptophyta; Magnoliopsida; Poales; Poaceae.